RNAcentral lists this long non-coding RNA (227 nucleotides) under Homo sapiens (human). RNAcentral's name for it is "HSALNT0041351". Lineage: Eukaryota; Metazoa; Chordata; Mammalia; Primates; Hominidae. The record is from RNAcentral.
AUUUUUAUAACAUACUUCAUGGGUUGCUUUGCAGCAGUUCACUAAGCAACAACACAGGUAAUAGAGAUGGAACCAACGGUCAAAUCACAAGUGAUAACAAGAUGCUGGGUGAUAAGGUUUUUUUAAAGACAUUCUAUCAGAAUUAUAAGCAGUAAGAAAUGACCUGCAGGAAGGCACCAGAGUGGGUGCUGUGCAGAAAAGAGACAUUAACAAGAGUUUCAUGUGGA